ACCGGAUAACAACAUGAAUCGCAUGAUUCAAGUUUGAAAGGCGGCGCAAGCUGUCACUUUAGGAUGAGCCCGCGGCGCAUUAGCUAGUUGGUGGGGUAAAGGCCUACCAAGGCAAUGAUGCGUAGCCGAGUUGAGAGACUGAUCGGCCACAUUGGGACUGAGACACGGCCCAAACUCCUACGGGAGGCAGCAGUAGGGAAUCUUCCACAAUGGACGCAAGUCUGAUGGAGCAACGCCGCGUGAGUGAAGAAGGUYUUCGGAUCGUAAAGCUCUGUUGUUGGUGAAGAAGGAUAGAGGCAGUAACUGGUCUUUAUUUGACGGUAAUCAACCAGAAAGUCACGGCUAACUACGUGCCAGCAGCCGCGGUAAUACGUAGGUGGCAAGCGUUGUCCGGAUUUAUUGGGCGUAAAGCGAGCGCAGGCGGAAUGAUAAGUCUGAUGUGAAAGCCCACGGCUCAACCGUGGAACUGCAUCGGAAACUGUCAUUCUUGAGUGCAGAAGAGGAGAGUGGAACUCCAUGUGUAGCGGUGGAAUGCGUAGAUAUAUGGAAGAACACCAGUGGCGAAGGCGGCUCUCUGGUCUGCAACUGACGCUGAGGCUCGAAAGCAUGGGUAGCGAACAGGAUUAGAUACCCUGGUAGUCCAUGCCGUAAACGAUGAGCGCUAGGUGUUGGGGACUUUCCGGUCCUCAGUGCCGCAGCAAACGCAUUAAGCGCUCCGCCUGGGGAGUACGACCGCAAGGUUGAAACUCAAAGGAAUUGACGGGGGCCCGCACAAGCGGUGGAGCAUGUGGUUUAAUUCGAAGCAACGCGAAGAACCUUACCAGGUCUUGACAUCCUGCGCUACACYUAGAGAUARGUGGUUCCCUUCGGGGACGCAGAGACAGGUGGUGCAUGGCUGUCGUCAGCUCGUGUCGUGAGAUGUUGGGUUAAGUCCCGCAACGAGCGCAACCCUUGUCUUUAGUUGCCAUCAUUAAGUUGGGCACUCUAAAGAGACUGCCGGUGACAAACCGGAGGAAGGUGGGGAUGACGUCAAGUCAUCAUGCCCCUUAUGACCUGGGCUACACACGUGCUACAAUGGGCAGUACAACGAGAAGCRAACCCGCGAGGGUAAGCGGAUCUCUUAAAGCUGYUCUCAGUUCGGACUGCAGGCUGCAACUCGCCUGCACGAAGCUGGAAUCGCUAGUAAUCGCGGAUCAGCACGCCGCGGUGAAUACGUUCCCG
This 1221-nucleotide ribosomal RNA is filed under the name Lactobacillus leichmannii. RNAcentral's name for it is "bacterial SSU rRNA". The record is from RNAcentral. Lineage: Bacteria; Bacillati; Bacillota; Bacilli; Lactobacillales; Lactobacillaceae.